This 1590-nucleotide ribosomal RNA is filed under the name Triticum aestivum (bread wheat). RNAcentral's name for it is "partial small subunit ribosomal RNA". The record is from RNAcentral. Lineage: Eukaryota; Viridiplantae; Streptophyta; Magnoliopsida; Poales; Poaceae.
AUGGGCUUUGGACAAGGUGUGUCGCCAUGGCCAUGCCAUGGCGCGCCGUCGUUGAACGGGCGGCGGGUGGGCCGACGGCGAUCAGCUGACGCGCACGGAGCCGCGCCGCCGCUCCUCGUACCAGCAGACGCAGCUGAGCGCGACGAGCACCUCCACGAUCGCCGCCUCCGCCUUGUCCUUGUCCGCCCACCGCAGCGUCUGCAGCGCGUACACGCGCGUGCCGCCGUCGAACCGCCGCGUCCGGUCCAUGUUCCGCUCCGACUGCCACUGCACCGUGUCGCGCGCCAUCGGGCCCAGCCACGCCAUGAUGCGCUCCACCGCCUCCUUCCACCCCUCCGCCAGCCCGGCGUCCAGCGGCCCCGGGUCCCGCCACCAGUCGCGCAGCUUCGACCGCACCGCCGCGCGGAGCUUCCCCGGCAGCAUCUCGUACAUCUCCGCCCGCUCCGCGUUCGCCUCCUCCUGCCGCCCCUCAGCCUCCAUCUGCAGCAGCUCCUCCGCCGACACGAUCACGUUCGCGUACUGCUGGUCCAGCCCCGCGCCGCCCACCGUGCUGCCCGGCGGGUCCAGGAGCUUGCGCCAGUCCACGCCGCCCUUCUGCCCGGGCAGCGGUCUCUGGCCGAUGAUCGGGCACGAGCUGCUCAGCUGCUGCAUCGGCGGGUGGACACGGGACGGCGCCCCCGCCCCCUCCCGCUCCCGCCGCGUGAUCGGCCCCGACGACGCCUUUGUCUUCCCCGUCCGCGGGCUCAUCAGCAGCUUGGACAGCCUGGUCUGGACGCUGUCGGCGGAGGUGGACGGCAUCGGCGGCGGGAGCCCCGGCACGAACUGGCCGAAGACGGCGCAGAUGCGGACGAACACGGCGCACGCGGCGCGCGCCAUGAGUCCCACGGCCUUCUCGUAGCUCUGGCUCCACAGGGACUCCUCCUUGAGCCGCCGCACCUUGAGCAGCUGCGUCUUGAUCUCCUGCUUGAGCGACUCGGCGCCCAUCGAGUCGCCGGCCUGCGGCGGGUCCGCGAGCUUCAUCGGAAUCGGCCCGCUGAGGCGGCUCCAGCCGCGGACGGUGAGCUUCCGCUCGGCGGACUCGAGCUCGUCGAGCGCCUCCAUCUCGGAGCAGAGCUUGGACGUGGCCGCCACGAGGCGCUCCAUCUUCUUGGCCUUGACCUUGAGCCCCUUGGCGGCGAGCAGGUCGAGGCGCGCGUCGUGCGCGCCGGCCUUGACACUCGCGUACACCCCGGCGAAGUCGAUGCCGCAGCGCAGGCCGAGGCGCGCGACGGCGGCCGCCGCGGCGUCGAGCGACAGGACCAGCUCGGCGCACGCCAGCCGGAGGAGGAACGCCUGGUCGGUGGAGUUGAGGUAGGCCACGCCCGGCGAGCGCAUGGCGUCGGAGCGCAGCCGGGAGACCUCCUGCUCCGAGAGCGAGCGGUGCAGCGAGAGCAGCUUGGACAUGGCCGCGCCCGCCUCGAACGCCAGUAUGCCCAGCGCCGCCUGCGGCACCGCCGGCAGCCGGAAGUCCACGGGCAGCCACGAGGCCGCCUUGUGCGCAACCAUCGGUCGGUCGACGGUAUGCUCCUUGCCUCGCUCCCUCCCACCUAG